Molecule: ribosomal RNA, 1683 nt
Filed under: Lophiodes caulinaris (spottedtail angler)
Lineage: Eukaryota; Metazoa; Chordata; Actinopteri; Lophiiformes; Lophiidae
Description: 16S rRNA
Rfam family: Bacterial large subunit ribosomal RNA (bases 97-1603)
Source: RNAcentral
AACCUAACAGCUAGCCAUAUUCACCAAAAAAAAUUGAACGAUAUAAAUAUCCCCCUAAACCCCCGCCUCCCUCAAACAAAACAUUUUUCCCCCUUAGUAUGGGCGACAGAAAAGGGUCUGACUGAGCGAUAGAAAGAGUACCGCAAGGGAAAGCUGAAAGAGCGAUGAAAAAGCCUAGUAAAGUUUAAAAAAGCAGAGAUAUAACUCGUACCUUUUGCAUCAUGUUUUAGCUAGUAAUACUCAAGCAAAGAGCCCUUCAGUUUGAGCCCCCGAAACUAAGCGAGCUACUCCAAGACAGCCUGUGUUAAAGGGCAAACCCGUCUCUGUGGCAAAAGAGUGGGAAGAGCUUUGAGUAGAGGUGACAGACCUACCGAGCUUAGUUAUAGCUGGUUUCCUGGGAAAUGGAUAGAAGUUCAGCCUACUAAGUUCUUCCCUCAAACCCCUUAAUUAAAGAUUAGAAGAAAUUAGUAGAGUUAGUCAAAGGGGGUACAGCCCCUUUGAUAAAGGAUACAACUUUAAUAGAAGGUUAAAGAUUAUAUUAUAUUUUAAGGAAUUCUCUUCUAGUGGGCCUAAAAGCAGCCACCCUUAUAGAAAGCGUUAAAGCUCAGAUUUUGAACACCCCAUAUAUACUAAUAAUCCAAUCUAAAUCCUCUAUAAAUACCGGGAAGCCCUAUGCAUGCAUAGGAAAUAUACUGCUAAUAUGAGUAAUAAGAGAGUAAUAAGGCUCUCUCCUAGCACAAGUGUAUAUCGGAGCGGACCACCCCCCGAAAAUUAACGGCCCCAAAAACAGAGGGCACUGAGUGAAAAAUAAAGAACUAGAAAAUAACCCAAACAAUAACCGUUAACCUCACACUAGAGUGCUACUAAGGAAAGACUAAAAGAAAGAGAAGGAACUCGGCAAACACUUUUUAAGCCUCGCCUGUUUACCAAAAACAUCGCCUCUUGUGAUACAUAAAUAAGAGGUCCUGCCUGCCCUGUGACAAAUGUUCAACGGCCGCGGUAUUUUGACCGUGCAAAGGUAGCGUAAUCACUUGUUUUUUAAAUGAAGACCUGUAUGAAUGGCAAAACGAGGGCUAAGCUGUCUCCUCUCUCCAGUCAAUGAAAUUGAUCUCCCCGUGAAGAAGCGGGGAUAUAAACAUAAGACGAGAAGACCCUAUGGAGCUUUAGACGCAAGACAGACUACGUUAAAUACCCCGCUUAAAGGCAAGAAACUAAGUAGGACCUGCCCCGAUGUCUUUGGUUGGGGCGACCGCGGGGUAAACUAAAACCCCCAUGUGGAAAGGCGAAACUUUCUCCUUUAUUUAGAGCUACCACUCUAGCUAUUAGAACUUCUAACUAAAAGAUCCGGCAAAGCCGAUCAACGAACCAAGUUACCCUAGGGAUAACAGCGCAAUCCCCUUCUAGAGACCCUAUCGACAAGGGAGUUUACGACCUCGAUGUUGGAUCAGGACAUCCUAAUGGUGCAGCUGCUAUUAAGGGUUCGUUUGUUCAACGAUUAAAGUCCUACGUGAUCUGAGUUCAGACCGGAGUAAUCCAGGUCAGUUUCUAUCUAUGAUAUGACCUCUUCUAGUACGCAGGGACCGAAGAGAGGGGGCCCAUGUUAAAUACAAACCCCUCCCUCACCUAAUGAAAUUAACUGAAUUAGAUAAGGGGGCAUAUUCCCAGACCAAAGAGAAUGGUCAG